RNAcentral lists this ribosomal RNA (429 nucleotides) under Fusobacteriota bacterium. RNAcentral's name for it is "Fusobacteria bacterium partial 16S ribosomal RNA". It matches the Rfam family "Bacterial small subunit ribosomal RNA", at positions 355 to 776 of the family's 1533-position model. The record is from RNAcentral. Lineage: Bacteria; Fusobacteriati; Fusobacteriota.
UGGGGAAUAUUGCGCAAUGGGCGAAAGCCUGACGCAGCGACGCCGCGUGAGGGAUGAAGGUUUUCGGAUCGUAAACCUCUGUCAGAAGGGAAGAAACCGCACUGUGCUAAUCAGCAGUGCCUUGACGGUACCUUCAAAGGAAGCACCGGCUAACUCCGUGCCAGCAGCCGCGGUAAUACGGAGGGUGCAAGCGUUAAUCGGUAUUACUGGGCGUAAAGCGCACGUAGGCUGCUUUGUAAGUCAGGGGUGAAAUCCCACGGCUCAACCGUGGAACUGCCUUUGAUACUGCUUAGCUUGAAUCCGGGAGAGGGUGGCGGAAUUCCAGGUGUAGGAGUGAAAUCCGUAGAUAUCUGGAGGAACAUCAGUGGCGAAGGCGGCCACCUGGACCGGUAUUGACGCUGAGGUGCGAAAGCGUGGGGAGCAAACAGG